RNAcentral lists this ribosomal RNA (250 nucleotides) under uncultured bacterium. RNAcentral describes it as "partial 16S ribosomal RNA". It matches the Rfam family "Bacterial small subunit ribosomal RNA", at positions 524 to 774 of the family's 1533-position model. The record is from RNAcentral.
UACGUAGGGGGCAAGCGUUGUCCGGAAUUAUUGGGCGUAAAGCGCGCGCAGGCGGUCGCUUAAGUCUGGUGUUUAAGGCCAAGGCUCAACCUUGGUUCGCACUGGAAACUGGGUGACUUGAGUGCAGAAGAGGAGAGUGGAAUUCCACGUGUAGCGGUGAAAUGCGUAGAGAUGUGGAGGAACACCAGUGGCGAAGGCGACUCUCUGGGCUGUAACUGACGCUGAGGCGCGAAAGCGUGGGAAGCAAACA